RNAcentral lists this ribosomal RNA (497 nucleotides) under uncultured bacterium. RNAcentral describes it as "partial 16S ribosomal RNA". It matches the Rfam family "Bacterial small subunit ribosomal RNA", at positions 28 to 507 of the family's 1533-position model. The record is from RNAcentral.
GAUGAACGCUGGCGGCGUGCCUAAUACAUGCAAGUCGAGCGAACAGACGAGGAUCUUGCUCCUCUGACGUUAGCGGCGGACGGGUGAGUAACACGUGGAUAACCUACCUAUAAGACUGGGAUAACUUCGGGAAACCGGAGCUAAUACCGGAUAAUCUAUUGAACCGCAUGGUUCAAUAGUGAAAGACGGUUUUGCUGUCACUUAUAGAUGGAUCCGCGCCGCAUUAGCUAGUUGGUAAGGUAACGGCUUACCAAGGCAACGAUGCGUAGCCGACCUGAGAGGGUGAUCGGCCACACUGGAACUGAGACACGGUCCAGACUCCUACGGGAGGCAGCAGUAGGGAAUGUUCCGCAAUGGGCGAAAGCCUGACGGAGCAAGGCCGCGUGAGUGAUGAAGGUCUUCGGAUCGUAAAACUCUGUUAUGAGGGAAGAACAAAUGUGUAAGUAACUAUGCACGUCUUGACGGUACCGAAUCAGAAAGCCACGGCUAACUACGUG